Molecule: long non-coding RNA, 1609 nt
Organism: Numida meleagris (helmeted guineafowl)
Lineage: Eukaryota; Metazoa; Chordata; Aves; Galliformes; Numididae
Exons: 3
Source: RefSeq, a predicted model, not a curated record
CGCGGCGGUGUUCGAGGCGCGCGGCCGUUGGCAGCGCGUGAGGUGGGGCGGUGUCGUGCCUGUGUGAGGGCUGUGGCGGGCGCGGGCGGCGUCGAGGAUCGGCGCUGCCCUCGGUUCCAAGGGUCGAGCCGUGCUGCCCGCCCCACGGGAGCGUGCCGAGGCUGAGCCCCCCGGCUCGCGCCGUCCUUGGCUGGAGGGCGUUCACGGCCAAGACAGGCCCGGGAGGCACCCGGUCACAGGAGCGGUUUCUGAGGGGCUGAGUCCUGUGCCCGCCGCAGCAGGGGUACCGAGCAGAGCCCCUCAGUCUCCACUUCAGCUGCUUGCGUAAGGCAGCAGUAGGAUGCAAAACGCCGUCCUUGUGAAGCUGUGUGGUACUGCACACGCCCAGCAGGAGUGCGGGGAGCUAGACAAAGCCCAUAUCCACCAUGAUUUGGCAGUGGUAACAACAGAGGUUAUCGCUGGGAGGAGAUGGAGAUGCAGUGCUCUGCCUGAGGUGCGGAAUGCCACCUGAAAAAUGAGCUCUGUGAUUGCCACCCACCAGGGACAGAAUGCUUUGGGACACAGCAACAAGAACACAACAUUUAUACACACAAACUUCAUGAAGCUGAGGGAUAAGUUUCAUAUUGUUAACCAGGAGCUGACUACUACAACAGUGCAUCUGCCGGAACGUGAACGUACGUGUUUGUAUUGUGUGUGCAAACAAAUCCAGCUACACAGAACUGGCCAUUUGCCACUAACGUUACUAUAGUCAGCAACCAGCUUGAAUUUGCGCUCCUCACAGCCUGUGCAUUGUCCAAAAGGCAAAGAUGCAACAACAGCAGCAAUGUUUGAGCCCAGGGUACAGAAGGAACUCCGGAUAACGUGACAGAUGAGCAGAAGAAGGGUGGGAAGAAUAAAAAAGUGAUUUAAUGGUGCAUGACAUGAAUGGAGAAAGAUAUGAUAAAGGAAUGUAUUGUUAAAGAAGAGUAGAAAGCAGACACUCACCCCCCUCCAGCAAAGAUGAAAUCUAAGGAUAACAGGAAAUAAAGCAAUUAAGGUCAAGACUGGCAUCAAGCUUCUGUUCAGAUCAGCAUGCUCACCAGAAUCCAAGCUGCUAUACAAGAUCACCAAGCAGGUGUUAGACUUGAAAUGCAGCGCAGAGCCCAGUGAGUUAGCUCCCAGGUAACAUCCUAUCUUCUGGGAACACUUUGGCAAGCAGAAGCAGGAUUCCACAGUGGAACCAGCAGGGAUGUCUCAGGUUAGUCUUCUUCAGUGAUAAAUGUAAAUAGUAGCUUUUAACAUAGUGCCUUUACUCUGCUGUUCUGUGUCCUUGCGACUCUGCCCCUGAACCUCAGUACACCCACCUGUACAAGAGUAUACCUGUAUGUAUUACAGCUUUAUAAAUCCUUAAGAAAAGUACAUGAGGAAGGUCACUAAGGAAGUCUGAGACUUUCUGAUUCACAUUAACUAUCUUCUACAAUGUGAGCUGAAAAAUAAUUCCACUCUCCCUCAGGGCAUGCAGACAUGAAAACUGCACUGUGCAGAGUACCAUGAAGUACCCAGCUCUCCUGGGAAGUCUAGUGAGCUGGACAUCAUCUUUGCUACCUUUUAGGAAACAUCUCUAAAUUCU